RNAcentral lists this ribosomal RNA (399 nucleotides) under uncultured bacterium. Its description in RNAcentral is "bacterial SSU rRNA". It matches the Rfam family "Bacterial small subunit ribosomal RNA", at positions 28 to 427 of the family's 1533-position model. The record is from RNAcentral.
GACGAACGCUGGCGGCGUACUUAACACAUGCAAGUCGAGCGGUAAGGCCCUUUCGGGGGUACGACGAGCGGCGAACGGGUGAGUAACACGUGAGCAACCUACCCUCAACUUCGGGAUAAGCCUCGGAAACGGGGUCUAAUACCGGAUAUCACUCAUUGCCUCAUGGUUUUGGGUUGAAAGUUCUGGCGGUUGGGGAUGGGCUCGCGGCCUAUCAGCUUGUUGGUGGGGUAAUGGCCUACCAAGGCGUCGACGGGUAGCCGGCCUGAGAGGGCGACCGGCCACACUGGGACUGAGACACGGCCCAGACUCCUACGGGAGGCAGCAGUGGGGAAGUAUUGCGCAAUGGACGGAAGGUCUGACGCAGCAACGCCGCGUGAGGGAUGACGGCCUUCGGUUGUU